Molecule: long non-coding RNA, 2107 nt
Filed under: Cricetulus griseus (Chinese hamster)
Lineage: Eukaryota; Metazoa; Chordata; Mammalia; Rodentia; Cricetidae
Description: lncRNA (ENSCGRG00015042136.1)
Source: RNAcentral
GGCCACACUCUGUCUUCCUUUCUGCUUUCCUUUCACACCAUGGGCCCCAGGCUGUGGGUCAGCAGACUUUCCCUGGGACUACCAAGGAGCCUGCAGCCUCUCUAGGGUCAGCCCUGGACCCCGUCCCUGGAACAGUUGCUGUCUCCCCAAUCCCUAAGCCCACUUAGACCCCUGCCUGCCACUGGGCCACUACUGCCUGAGGAAGCAGCCGUGAGUAUCCUGGUCCCAGGUAGACGUGAUGGCAGGAAGGACCUCAGCCAGCCUGCCAGUACCAGUCUCUCGAUGCCCAGGGUCCUGCUCCAUCUACUUUGUCACCACUGGAGCGAGCAGAUGCCAAGUUUUACAGAUGUUAUGCUGUCCCUGUUGUUAGAGGUUGGAGUGCUGUGUUAAGCCUUGCAGAGGCUGUGUCUAGACUCCUGGGAAAGUGAAUCCUCAUUGAUUAGUAAUGCCUGAUGUGGGUCUGGGAACAAGGAUAGAUGUAUCCAAUGGUCUCCUUUUCAUGUCUCUUCAUCCAAUAGGGCCGCGGUCUAACCUCUCCUGAAGUACCUUAUGUCUUCUAGCAUAGCAGGUGUCAACUAUCUGAGGCUCUGAAAUGAUGAGAAGACCGUGGCCACAAUGUCCAAGUGGAAAAGGGAAGCUUGGGCUGGAGUUUGUGUUUCUGGGUCAGAAGGACCAAGGCAAUGCCAGAGCAUCAUGGAGAAGAGAGACAGAGGCCACUCUGGAAGCCAAGGACCCAGGGAUGGUGGGGAGACCAGUGGGCAGUGUUUGCCACUGUCCCUGACACUUCUGCCUGAGGGCUUGGGCUGGGAGUGAGGGACCCCGACUGACAGAGAUGGGGUUCCAGCAAAGACGCUACUUCUUCAACUGAGACCUGUUCCCAGAGGUGCCUGGGGACAGAGCCAGGCUGCCACAGAGGGGUCUGCUCAAUGCUUCAUAGUGUCACCACCCUCCUGCUGACACUGUCAUCUGCCAGUGAUCCCGGCUGGAGUCAGCUGAGGAGCAGAGUGGAGCCAGAGUGGAGGCUUCAGAGUGUCCAUGUCAGACACUGACCUUGCUUGUGACCUUGGGAGCUAACAGGUGACCAGAGAGGGACGGGUGGUAGAAAGCGCUGGCCCUGGGAUCUGGGGACCCUGGACAGAGGACAGGUGCCGGUCGGCUUCAGGGGAUGAGCUGGCAGCAGAGGAGAGAGUGUGUGACUCACUUUGUAGACACAUCUUGUCCCGCUGGUCACAGCAGCCAGGCCACCUGUCCCAGGGGAUCCUUAUGGGCUUGUGCUAGUGACAGGGCAGUGGGGACCAGGUGACUCCCUUUCCCCCAUGGAGGCCUUGUGUCCAGUGAGAGCUCUCCAUGGCUCCCACACCCAGGGCUCCCUCUGCAGAGCCAGUGCCCCCUGGGGCCUCACACCUGGGUUUCUGUUCCUUUCCCCACAGCUCCCACCACUGGGCUCAUCCAAGUGCCCGGGUCUCUCAGCCCGCACUGGCCCUGCAGAGAUGCCUGCAGCAGGUCCUGCUGCCUCUGCUCUUCUAGGACAGAGGUUUCCACAGAACCCUCCAGGGCUGCACCUCUCUCAGCAGAAAGACUUCAGAGGCUGCAAGGCUCUGUACCCCAGCUCUGCCCCCAGGCCCUCUGGCAUCAUCCUUUCCUCCCUCAACUCACUAGCCUCACCCCUGCAACAUGCCACUAUGCUGCCCCAGGCCCUUUGCACACACUGGUCCCCCACCCCACCUCAAUCCACAACUUCUCUGUUCCAGGUUACAGUUCACAGAGGACCUCCCUGGCCAACCCUCUUGCCUCCUACCUAGAACUUUCUAGAAAUUAUCCCCUUGUUUAUCCAGUUUCUCCUCCAUUCCCCUCCUCUGGAAUGCAGCUGUGGCACAGGUGGGGGACCUGGCUGUUUUGCUCUAGGCUCACACCCACCUCCCAGGACAGGCCCUGCUGCCCUGUAAACACACGGGAAUGAGGGAUUGCAUGCUUCUCCCGGAGCCAGUCCUGCAUGCUGUCUGCCCACAGUCUGCUGCUCUGGCAGGCACAUUCUCCCCUCCCCUGGCUUGGUGUGUAUGUGCUGUGAGACAAGUCGGUCUCCUCUGGUGCAAUGUGUGUGUGCGGG